CCUUUGGAGCUCUGAAUUUUAAAUAUCAAUCAAUGAGAAAAUAGGACUCACCUAAAACACAUGGUUUUGUUUCUGACCACCUGUAUUUUAUGAGUGCUUGUCAAAAUGCAGUUUUUGAUGGCCCCUGAACGAUUCUGGGCCUCAUCUCCCAGUCUGCACUUGGGGAUUCGGCACUUGAUAAUCUGCUACGGUGUGAAAUGGAGAUGGGCAGGGAGACGCAGCAGCCUCGGAACGACACCCAUGCCAGAAACUCCGCGAAGUGCUCAGCUGAAGAACACUUGCUCUUGAAAAGAUACCUGAGGGUCAUCUGCAUAAGAUGAUGAAGUAUGAAGUGUAGCAGCUGAUUGAUGGGAACCAAGGGAGAGAACUUCUGCCUCAGCCCCUCUGCUUCAUCUCCACCCUGGGAUCAGGGCCUGCAAAUGCCCCUGCUGGACUCCCCGCUCCCUCUGCCAGCCUCUCUGAAUCCUACCCUCCUGCCAAAGUGAGUCCCCCCAUGUGGGCACUGUGCUGCACCAUCCAGGUCCCCUGCAGCCCUGAAGGAGUAGGGUGCCCCCGUGCUGGGAGUACAGGCUGCAGACACAAGGACCCUCAGCUGUCAGCCCUCUCUGGAGAUCCCCUCUACUGAAGAAAAGAAAAUGCCUUGGCCGAAGCCAAGAUCUUCAGCUGUUUAAAGCAUCCCUCUGGCUACAGUGAAGAGAAUGAAUUCACCACAUGCAUCGCCUGCUGUUGGGCACAUGUUAACCCUUCGGCCUGAUAGUUUUAACCUGUAGUUGUGCGAGAUAACGUGUCUGCUGCUUGAGGUUGGAACCCAGCCCUUGGACUAUUUGGAUCCUUGCAUGGCCUUGCACUGAGUAGGUGCUCAAUAAAU
Long non-coding RNA from Globicephala melas (long-finned pilot whale), 868 nucleotides. RefSeq lists it as uncharacterized. Lineage: Eukaryota; Metazoa; Chordata; Mammalia; Artiodactyla; Delphinidae. The record is from RefSeq and is a predicted model, not a curated record.